Nerophis ophidion (straightnose pipefish) is the source of this 2658-nucleotide long non-coding RNA. RefSeq lists it as uncharacterized. The transcript is spliced from 3 exons. The record is from RefSeq and is a predicted model, not a curated record. NCBI's taxonomy places the organism in Eukaryota, Metazoa, Chordata, Actinopteri, Syngnathiformes, Syngnathidae.
CAUUAUUGUCACCGAUGUCCCACUGGGUGUGAGUUUUCCUUGCCCUUAUGUGGGCCUACCGAGGAUGUCGUAGUGGUUUGUGCAGCCUUUUGAGACACUAGUGAUUUAGGGCUAUAUAAGUAAACAUUGAUUGAUUGAUAUGAAGUCAGACUCACACUUUGGUCCCAUUAUCAAGCAUUCAAUCAUGUUGAAAUUAAUAAGGGGGCAGUCCAUGGGCACACUACUUACUAAGAAGGGUACCUGUUAUGUUUGGGUCUCUAUUAUCGGGGUGACUCACAUUCACUACCACCCACCUGCCAUACGGCAAGGGCUCCCCAUUCACUACGAGCACACUUAGAGGCUUACGCCCGAUGAGAUCUGCUAAUGGCCGUGGCUUACGGUCGGGAAGGUCAGUUUCUACCUACUUACGAUCAAGAAGACUCACUUGAGCACCUGUGUCAAGCAAACAUUCAACUGGAAAAUUGUUAAUGUUGCACUUGACCCUGCAUUUCUUCCCUACUAACUGGACCACUUGUUCCCGCACCUCAGUUUUUUUUGGACUGAAGAGAGUGUGAUGGGACACAAGUAGGGGAUUAUAUAUGUUUCAUUGCCAUGCAAGUUGUAUAGUGUUUUAUUGCUGUGGAUUUUACAUUGCAUGUUUUUUUAAAUUUUAGAAUUUGAUUGUAUUUGACAGAAUUUCUAGGCGCAGUCAAGGCGUUGAGGGGUUCCGGUUUGGUAACCGCAGGAUUAGGUCUCUGCUUUUUGCAGAUGAUGUGGUCCUGAUGGCUUCAUCUGACCGGGAUCUUCAGCUCUCGCUGGAUCGGUUCGCAGCCGAGUGUGAAGCGACUGGAAUGAGAAUCAGCACCUCCAAGUCCAAGUCCAUGGUUCUCGCCCAGAAAAGGGUGGAAUGCCAUCUCCGGGUUGGGGAGGAGACCCUGCCCCAAGUGGAGGAGUUCAAGUACCUAGGAGUCUUGUUCACGAGUGAGGGAAGAGUGGAUCGUGAGAUCGACAGGCGGAUCUGUGCGGCGUCUUCAGUAAUGCGGACGUUGUACCGAUCCGUUGUGGUGAAGAAGGAGCUGAGCCGGAAGGCAAAGCUCUCAAUUUACCGGUCGAUCUACGUUCCCAUCCUCACCUAUGGUCAUGAGCUUUGGGUCAUGACCGAAAGGAUAAGAUCACGGGUACAAGCGGCCGAAAUGAGUUUCCUCCGCCGUGUGGCGGGGCUCUCCCUUAGAGAUAGGGUGAGAAGCUCUGCCAUCCGGGAGGAGUUCAAAGUAAAGCCGCUGCUCCUUCACAUCGAGAGGAGCCAGAUGAGGUGGUUCGGGCAUCUGGUCAGGAUGCCACCCGAACGCCUCCCUAGGGAGGUGUUUAGGGCACGUCCAACCGGUAGGAGGCCACGGGGAAGACCCAGGACACGUUGGGAAGACUAUGUCUCCCGGCUGGCCUGGGAACGCCUCGGGAUCCCCCGGGAAGAGCUAGACGAAGUGGCUGGGGAGAGGGAAGUCUGGGUUUCCCUGCUUAGGCUGUUGCCCCCGCGACCCGACCUCAGAUAAGCGGAGGAUGAUGGAUGGAUGGAUGGAAUUUGAUUGUUUUUUAAUUGCACGUUUUUACAUUUUAGGAUUUGAUUAUAGUUUUAAUUGCAUGUUUUUAUACUUUGGAAUUUGAUUGUUUUUAAUUGUAUGUUUUUACUCCUUGUGGACUUUGCUGGUAUCUUAAGACAUUGCCCCUUUUAGCUGGUUGCCCAUAACAACCACAGUGCCCAAUCCAAUGGCACGGGAAAUUGGACACACCUGUGGAGCAUUAAGACUGUGCACAUUGAUUGAUUUAAAAGGAGCAACAAGAGGAAGAAGAGGGGACAGGUUCGAGAGGAGGGUCUACAGAGUAAAACGGCAGGAUUCGGCAGGUUCUGGCCGGAACGGGGAAGAAUCUGCAGGCUUUGACGAGAGGGACCGGGUAGACGCACGCAGGCUGGGAAGGAACCCCCGGACCACACAGUAGACCCCGCAGGCAACCGGAACGAACCCCAAGACGUCCACAACAGGCAAGGGAGGAGGAAACUCUGCCGCCCAUGCUCGUGCGUCGUGCGCCGGCUGUGUGGUUCUGUAGUCAGGGUGAUUUGGACCCAGGGACCUGCGGCGACCCCCGGAGCGACCAGGAGGCGGAGCGGCACGGGUACGGCCACGUGGGUCCUGCGAGUGACCGGAGAGUGGUCGUACCCAAUACGUUGACGCGGAACUAGAGCAAAGGCAGGGGAAACACUGCCUUGCGUGAAGACACCGUGGAAGUGGGCGGAGCCAAGAGACGGAACCCCACGCCUGUCGUGACUGGUUUUAAUUGUAUUUUAUUAAAUUGUGAAUCAGAAUAUUCAUCUUUCCUUAUUUUGGGACGGCUGCUCUCACUACAUUGGGUUCUUAAUAGUUAUAUUGGUUUUAAGCAACAAUUUUAUUGGUUUUUAAUAUUUUUCUACUCGGGACCAUUACAAGAGGACAUUCCAAUGUUUCUUACAUGUACUGGUGGCUUCACCUCUGUAGGGCUCCAGGGGCUGCUGUUCAUUAUGGUGUGGACAUCAGCAGGGGGUUGGUUGGCUCUCUGGACACGAGGCCUCUUGAGACAGCCAACAGCUCUGUGCCUGACCUCCCCACAUAGAAAACAAUGGUUACAUGGGCUUGUGCCUUGUCAAAC